RNAcentral lists this ribosomal RNA (465 nucleotides) under Vreelandella stevensii. RNAcentral describes it as "partial 16S ribosomal RNA". It matches the Rfam family "Bacterial small subunit ribosomal RNA", at positions 338 to 795 of the family's 1533-position model. Lineage: Bacteria; Pseudomonadati; Pseudomonadota; Gammaproteobacteria; Oceanospirillales; Halomonadaceae. The record is from RNAcentral.
CCUACGGGGGGCUGCAGUGGGGAAUAUUGGACAAUGGGGGCAACCCUGAUCCAGCCAUGCCGCGUGUGUGAAGAAGGCCCUCGGGUUGUAAAGCACUUUCAGUGAGGAAGAACGCCUGGUGGUUAAUACCCAUCAGGAAAGACAUCACUCACAGAAGAAGCACCGGCUAACUCCGUGCCAGCAGCCGCGGUAAUACGGAGGGUGCGAGCGUUAAUCGGAAUUACUGGGCGUAAAGCGCGCGUAGGUGGCUUGAUAAGCCGGUUGUGAAAGCCCCGGGCUCAACCUGGGAACGGCAUCCGGAACUGUCAAGCUAGAGUGCAGGAGAGGAAGGUAGAAUUCCCGGUGUAGCGGUGAAAUGCGUAGAUAUCGGGAGGAAUACCAGUGGCGAAGGCGGCCUUCUGGACUGACACUGACACUGAGGUGCGAAAGCGUGGGUAGCAAACAGGAUUAGAUACCCGAGUAGUC